Molecule: ribosomal RNA, 1475 nt
Filed under: uncultured prokaryote
Description: partial 16S ribosomal RNA
Rfam family: Bacterial small subunit ribosomal RNA
Source: RNAcentral
GAGAGUUUGAUCCUGGCUCAGAAUGAACGCUGGCGGCGUGCUUAACACAUGCAAGUCGAACGAUGAAGCCUAGCUUGCUAGGUGGAUUAGUGGCGCACGGGUGAGUAAUAUAUAGAUAACGUGCCUCUUAGUCUGGGAUAGCCAUUGGAAACGAUGAUUAAUACUAGAUACUCCUUCUCCUUAUAAUUGGAGUUGGGAAAGUUUUUCGCUAAGAGAUCGGUCUAUAUCCCAUCAGCUUGUUGGUAGUGUAAGAGACUACCAAGGCUAUGACGGGUAGCGGGUUUGAGAGGAUGAUCCGCCACACUGGUACUGAGACACGGACCAGACUCCUACGGGAGGCAGCAGUGAGGAAUAUUGCACAAUGGAGGAAACUCUGAUGCAGCAACGCCGCGUGGAGGAUGACGCAUUUCGGUGUGUAAACUCCUUUUAUAAGGGAAGAAAAUGACGGUACCUUAUGAAUAAGCACCGGCUAACUCCGUGCCAGCAGCCGCGGUAAUACGGGGGGUGCAAGCGUUAUUCGGAAUUAUUGGGCGUAAAGGGCGCGUAGGCGGUCUUGUCGGUCAGAUGUGAAAGCCCAGGGCUCAACCCUGGACGUGCAUUUGAAACAGCAAGACUUGAAUACUGGAGAGGAGAGCGGAAUUCCUGGUGUAGAGGUGAAAUUCGUAGAUAUCAGGAGGAACACCGAUGGCGAAGGCAGCUCUCUGGACAGAUAUUGACGCUGAGGCGCGAAGGCGUGGGUAGCGAACAGGAUUAGAUACCCUGGUAGUCCACGCAGUAAACGAUGUACACUAGGUGUAGCGGAUAUUAAAAUCUGCUGUGCCCAAAGCUAACGCAUUAAGGGAACCGCCUGGGGAGUACGGUCGCAAGACUAAAACUCAAAGGAAUUGACUGGGGCCCGCACAAGCGGUGGAGCAUGUGGUUUAAUUCGACAACGCGAAGAGAACCUUACCUGGACUUGACAUAGAAAGAAUUUAGCAGAGAUGUAAAAGUGCUGGUUUACCAGAGCUUUCAUACAGGUGCUGCACGGCUGUCGUCAGCUCGUGUCGUGAGAUGUUGGGUUAAGUCCCGCAACGAGCGCAACCCUCGUGUUUAGUUGCUAACAGUUAGGCUGAGAACUCUAAACAGACUGCCUGGGUAACCAGGAGGAAGGUGAGGACGACGUCAAGUCAUCAUGGCCCUUAUGUCCAGGGCUACACACGUGCUACAAUGGGGUAUACAAAGAGCAGCAAUACGGUGACGUGCAGCAAAUCUCAAAAAUAUCCUCCCAGUUCGGAUAGCAGUCUGCAACUCGACUGCUUGAAGUUGGAAUCGCUAGUAAUCGUAGAUCAGCAAUGCUACGGUGAAUACGUUCCCGGGUCUUGUACUCACCGCCCGUCACACCAUGGGAGUUGAUUUCAUUCGAAGCGGGGAUGCUAAGAUAGCUACCCUCCACAGUGGAAUUAGCGACCUAGGGUGAAGUCGUAAGCAAGGUAACC